UCAGGACGAACGCUGGCGGCGUGCUUAACACAUGCAAGUCGAACGGAAAGGCCCUUCGGGGUACUCGAGUGGCGAACGGGUGAGUAACACGUGGGUGAUCUGCCCUGCACUUCGGGAUAAGCCUGGGAAACUGGGUCUAAUACCGGAUAUGACCUCAGGAUGCAUGUCUUGUGGUGGAAAGCUUUUGCGGUGUGGGAUGGGCCCGCGGCCUAUCAGCUUGUUGGUGGGGUCACGGCCUACCAAGGCGACGACGGGUAGCCGGCCUGAGAGGGUGUCCGGCCACACUGGGACUGAGAUACGGCCCAGACUCCUACGGGAGGCAGCAGUGGGGAAUAUUGCACAAUGGGCGCAAGCCUGAUGCAGCGACGCCGCGUGAGGGACGACGGCCUUCGGGUUGUAAACCUCUUUCAGCACAGACGAAGCGCAAGUGACGGUAUGUGCAGAAGAAGGACCGGCCAACUACGUGCCAGCAGCCGCGGUAAUACGUAGGGUCCGAGCGUUG
RNAcentral lists this ribosomal RNA (502 nucleotides) under Mycobacterium sp. NLA000901128. Its description in RNAcentral is "bacterial SSU rRNA". It matches the Rfam family "Bacterial small subunit ribosomal RNA", at positions 24 to 543 of the family's 1533-position model. Lineage: Bacteria; Bacillati; Actinomycetota; Actinomycetes; Mycobacteriales; Mycobacteriaceae. The record is from RNAcentral.